This is a non-coding RNA of Amborella trichopoda, 611 nucleotides long. NCBI's taxonomy places the organism in Eukaryota, Viridiplantae, Streptophyta, Magnoliopsida, Amborellales, Amborellaceae. The record is from RefSeq and is a predicted model, not a curated record.
UGCUUUGAACAUCUUCUUACUUUGAUCUCCUAAUGAAUUCUUGAAAGUCAAACUUAAAUCCUUAGCUAGGAGGAACAUAAAUUUAUUUUUUCCAAGCACUAGUAGAAGAUUAACACAAUGAUAUGUCUUUUGUGAUGAAAUGCAGUUUGCAACUAGUCAUCUUUCAAGUGACAUACCAUCAGCAAGUAAGGAUGUGAUUGAUCUCAUUUAUCCAACUUGAUAAUAACUAGUUCACUGGUAGCCACAUUCCAGCCUCCUACAGUAACGUGUCAAAAUUGUUGAAGUUAAGGAUGCAGUGUAACUGUGCUUGUUGGGGUUCUUCACAAGGAUGCAAUUUCAAGAUACACCCCAUGAAUGUGCUCAAUGAAAGGACUCUCAAAUGAACAUUCUUUGGAAACUAUAAGCUACAUUCUGAUCUUCCAUCUAUUAUCAACAAAUACAUAAAAAAGGUACACGUCACGUGGAGAAGUUCAUCACACAUUCAGUCUCAUUCUCAAAGAUCAAUAAGACGAUUGAAUACAUGCUCAAAGGAGACGGCCUUUGCUGCAUCAUUUGAAUGGAAGAGUGAAACUUGAAGAAGCAAAAAAAAAAAAUUACUAGUUGGUGGUGAG